GGGUAUAUAGCUCAGUGGUAGAGUGUGUGCUUAGCAUGCAGGAGGUCCUGGGUUCAAUCCCCAGUACCUCCA
Molecule: transfer RNA, 72 nt
Filed under: Camelus bactrianus (Bactrian camel)
Lineage: Eukaryota; Metazoa; Chordata; Mammalia; Artiodactyla; Camelidae
Also listed under: 2 other names
Rfam family: tRNA
About the family: Transfer RNA (tRNA) molecules are approximately 80 nucleotides in length.
Source: Rfam by way of RNAcentral